RNAcentral lists this ribosomal RNA (504 nucleotides) under uncultured bacterium. Its description in RNAcentral is "bacterial SSU rRNA". It matches the Rfam family "Bacterial small subunit ribosomal RNA", at positions 30 to 526 of the family's 1533-position model. The record is from RNAcentral.
AUUGAACGCUGGCGGCAGGCUUAACACAUGCAAGUCGAGCGGAGAGAGGUAGCUUGCUACCGAUCUUAGCGGCGGACGGGUGAGUAAUGCUUAGGAAUCUGCCUAUUAGUGGGGGACAACAUUUCGAAAGGAAUGCUAAUACCGCAUACGUCCUACGGGAGAAAGCAGGGGAUCUUCGGACCUUGCGCUAAUAGAUGAGCCUAAGUCGGAUUAGCUAGUUGGUGGGGUAAAGGCCUACCAAGGCGACGAUCUGUAGCGGGUCUGAGAGGAUGAUCCGCCACACUGGGACUGAGACACGGCCCAGACUCCUACGGGAGGCAGCAGUGGGGAAUAUUGGACAAUGGGCGGAAGCCUGAUCCAGCCAUGCCGCGUGUGUGAAGAAGGCCUUAUGGUUGUAAAGCACUUUAAGCGAGGAGGAGGCUACUUUAGUUAAUACCUAGAGAUAGUGGACGUUACUCGCAGAAUAAGCACCGGCUAACUCUGUGCCAGCCGCCGCCGUAACAC